This 2758-nucleotide ribosomal RNA is filed under the name Klebsiella pneumoniae. RNAcentral describes it as "bacterial LSU rRNA". It matches the Rfam family "Bacterial large subunit ribosomal RNA". The record is from RNAcentral. Lineage: Bacteria; Pseudomonadati; Pseudomonadota; Gammaproteobacteria; Enterobacterales; Enterobacteriaceae.
CACUAUCGUUAACUGAAUACAUAGGUUAACGAGGCGAACCGGGGGAACUGAAACAUCUAAGUACCCCGAGGAAAAGAAAUCAACCGAGAUUCCCCCAGUAGCGGCGAGCGAACGGGGAGCAGCCCAGAGUCUGAAUCAGCUUGUGUGUUAGUGGAACGGUCUGGAAAGUCCGACGGUACAGGGUGAUAGUCCCGUACACCAAAAUGCACAGGCUGUGAACUCGAAGAGUAGGGCGGGACACGUGGUAUCCUGUCUGAAUAUGGGGGGACCAUCCUCCAAGGCUAAAUACUCCUGACUGACCGAUAGUGAACCAGUACCGUGAGGGAAAGGCGAAAAGAACCCCGGCGAGGGGAGUGAAAAAGAACCUGAAACCGUGUACGUACAAGCAGUGGGAGCACCUUCGGGUGUGACUGCGUACCUUUUGUAUAAUGGGUCAGCGACUUAUAUUCUGUAGCAAGGUUAACCGUAUAGGGGAGCCGCAGGGAAACCGAGUCUUAACUGGGCGUUAAGUUGCAGGGUAUAGACCCGAAACCCGGUGAUCUAGCCAUGGGCAGGUUGAAGGUUGGGUAACACUAACUGGAGGACCGAACCGACUAAUGUUGAAAAAUUAGCGGAUGACUUGUGGCUGGGGGUGAAAGGCCAAUCAAACCGGGAGAUAGCUGGUUCUCCCCGAAAGCUAUUUAGGUAGCGCCUCGUGAAUUCAUCUUCGGGGGUAGAGCACUGUUUCGGCUAGGGGGUCAUCCCGACUUACCAACCCGAUGCAAACUACGAAUACCGAAGAAUGUUAUCACGGGAGACACACGGCGGGUGCUAACGUCCGUCGUGAAGAGGGAAACAACCCAGACCGCCAGCUAAGGUCCCAAAGUCAUGGUUAAGUGGGAAACGAUGUGGGAAGGCACAGACAGCCAGGAUGUUGGCUUAGAAGCAGCCAUCAUUUAAAGAAAGCGUAAUAGCUCACUGGUCGAGUCGGCCUGCGCGGAAGAUGUAACGGGGCUAAACCAUGCACCGAAGCUGCGGCAGCGACACUAUGUGUUGUUGGGUAGGGGAGCGUUCUGUAAGCCUGCGAAGGUGACCUGUGAGGGUUGCUGGAGGUAUCAGAAGUGCGAAUGCUGACAUAAGUAACGAUAAAGCGGGUGAAAAGCCCGCUCGCCGGAAGACCAAGGGUUCCUGUCCAACGUUAAUCGGGGCAGGGUGAGUCGACCCCUAAGGCGAGGCCGAAAGGCGUAGUCGAUGGGAAACAGGUUAAUAUUCCUGUACUUGGUGUUACUGCGAAGGGGGGACGGAGAAGGCUAUGUUAGCCGGGCGACGGUUGUCCCGGUUUAAGCAUGUAGGCUGAUUGUCCAGGCAAAUCCGGAUAAUCAAGGCUGAGGUGUGAUGACGAGGCACUACGGUGCUGAAGUAACAAAUGCCCUGCUUCCAGGAAAAGCCUCUAAGCAUCAGGUAACAUCAAAUCGUACCCCAAACCGACACAGGUGGUCAGGUAGAGAAUACCAAGGCGCUUGAGAGAACUCGGGUGAAGGAACUAGGCAAAAUGGUGCCGUAACUUCGGGAGAAGGCACGCUGGUGUGUAGGUGAAGUCCCUGCGGAUGGAGCUGAGACCAGUCGAAGAUACCAGCUGGCUGCAACUGUUUAUUAAAAACACAGCACUGUGCAAACACGAAAGUGGACGUAUACGGUGUGACGCCUGCCCGGUGCCGGAAGGUUAAUUGAUGGGGUUAUCCGUAAGGAGAAGCUCUUGAUCGAAGCCCCGGUAAACGGCGGCCGUAACUAUAACGGUCCUAAGGUAGCGAAAUUCCUUGUCGGGUAAGUUCCGACCUGCACGAAUGGCGUAAUGAUGGCCAGGCUGUCUCCACCCGAGACUCAGUGAAAUUGAACUCGCUGUGAAGAUGCAGUGUACCCGCGGCAAGACGGAAAGACCCCGUGAACCUUUACUAUAGCUUGACACUGAACAUUGAGCCUUGAUGUGUAGGAUAGGUGGGAGGCUUUGAAGCGUGGACGCCAGUCUGCGUGGAGCCAACCUUGAAAUACCACCCUUUAAUGUUUGAUGUUCUAACGUUGGCCCCUGACCGGGGUUGCGGACAGUGUCUGGUGGGUAGUUUGACUGGGGCGGUCUCCUCCCAAAGCGUAACGGAGGAGCACGAAGGUUAGCUAAUCCUGGUCGGACAUCAGGAGGUUAGUGCAAUGGCAUAAGCUAGCUUGACUGCGAGCGUGACGGCGCGAGCAGGUGCGAAAGCAGGUCAUAGUGAUCCGGUGGUUCUGAAUGGAAGGGCCAUCGCUCAACGGAUAAAAGGUACUCCGGGGAUAACAGGCUGAUACCGCCCAAGAGUUCAUAUCGACGGCGGUGUUUGGCACCUCGAUGUCGGCUCAUCACAUCCUGGGGCUGAAGUAGGUCCCAAGGGUAUGGCUGUUCGCCAUUUAAAGUGGUACGCGAGCUGGGUUUAGAACGUCGUGAGACAGUUCGGUCCCUAUCUGCCGUGGGCGCUGGAGAAUUGAGGGGGGCUGCUCCUAGUACGAGAGGACCGGAGUGGACGCAUCACUGGUGUUCGGGUUGUCAUGCCAAUGGCACUGCCCGGUAGCUAAAUGCGGAAGAGAUAAGUGCUGAAAGCAUCUAAGCACGAAACUUGCCCCGAGAUGAGUUCUCCCUGAGACUUUAAGUCUCCUGAAGGAACGUUAAAGACGAUGACGUUGAUAGGCCGGGUGUGUAAGCGCAGCGAUGCGUUGAGCUAACCGGUACUAAUGAACCGUGAGGCUUAACCUU